GUGUUUGUAGGUAGGGUCUAGUAGAUUCCCACUAGGAAUAGUAGAAUGCCCUUCCAAAAAAUAAUUCCGGUUCUUUGAACCUCUAUCUUUUGAAGGGGUCGUUUCUCUGUUCUUAGUAGGGGUCCAUGUAGGCCCUGGCAAUUCCUUUGGGAUUUAACUUAUCCCCAUUGUUGUCACUGCUGCCGGUGGAAGAGGCUUCUUCUAGAAGCUGUAGGACUUCAUCGUUGUUGGUGUCUUGGCUUUCUAUAUCGUGCAAAGCCUUUUUCAAUCUUUCUUUGAGCGCUUGUUUAUUCUGUGAGACGCCUGCUGAAGAUGCUGGUGUUCUCCCCUUGUCGGGAGUUUUAGGAGCUGCUGGCUUGGGAGUCCAGCCUUUAACCUUUAUCUCUUUAGACAGAUAUGUAAUUCGGUCUUGUUCUUCUUUGGCAAAAUUCUAGGAGAU
RNAcentral lists this long non-coding RNA (439 nucleotides) under Capsicum annuum. Its description in RNAcentral is "long non-coding RNA (CANN_LNC000366)". Lineage: Eukaryota; Viridiplantae; Streptophyta; Magnoliopsida; Solanales; Solanaceae. The record is from RNAcentral.